RNAcentral lists this ribosomal RNA (1776 nucleotides) under Meloidogyne arenaria. RNAcentral's name for it is "SSU rRNA". It matches the Rfam family "Eukaryotic small subunit ribosomal RNA". Lineage: Eukaryota; Metazoa; Nematoda; Chromadorea; Rhabditida; Meloidogynidae. The record is from RNAcentral.
UCUGGUUGAUCCUGCCUGAACUGAUGUGUUUAUUUCAAAGAUUAAGCCAUGCAUGUAUAAGUUUAAUCGUUUAUCGAGAAACCGCGAACGGCUCAUUACAAUGGCCAUUAUUUACUUGAUCUUGAUUGUCUAAAUGGAUAACUGUGGAAAAGCUAGAGCUAAUACAUGCACUAAAGCUUUGUCCUUACGGAAAAGCGCAUUUAUUAGAACAAAACCACGCGGCUUCGGCUGCUUCUUGUUGACUCAGAAUAACUUAGCUGACCGCAUGGCCUUGUGCCGGCGGCGUGUCUUUCAAGCGUCCACUUUAUCAACUUGACGGGAGCAUAAUCGACUCCCGUGGUGGUGACGGAUAACGGAGGAUCAGGGUUCGACUCCGGAGAAGGGGCCUGAGAAAUGGCCACUACGUCUAAGGAUGGCAGCAGGCGCGCAAAUUACCCACUCUCGGCUCAGGAGGUAGUGACGAGAAAUAACGAGACUGUUCUCUUUGAGGCCGGUCAUCGGAAUGGGUACAAUUUAAACCCUUUAACGAGUAUCAAGCAGAGGGCAAGUCUGGUGCCAGCAGCCGCGGUAAUUCCAGCUCUGCAAAUACAUAGAAUUAUUGCUGCGGUUAGAAAGCUCAUAGUUGGAUUCGUAUCGAUACCUUGGAACCCUUCGGGUGUCUCUAGGUGUUAUCGAUUUAUCGUAAUGUUCGGUUUUGAGUCCUUAACAGGAUUCUUAACAGGCAUUGCAAGUUUACUUUGAACAAAUCAGAGUGCUUCAAACAGGCGUUUUCGCUUGAAUGAUCGUGCAUGGAAUAAUAGAAAAUGAUUUCGGUUCAGUUUUAUUGGUUUUACGGACUGAGAUAAUGGUUAACAGAGACAAACGGGGGCAUUUGUAUGGUCCCGUGAGAGGUGAAAUUCUUGGACCGUGGCCAGACAAACUACAGCGAAAGCAUUUGCCAAGAAUGUUUUUAUUAAUCAAGAACGAAAGUCAGAGGUUCGAAGGCGAUCAGAUACCGCCCUAGUUCUGACCGUAAACGAUGCCAACUAGCGAUCCGCCGAUGGAAAUUAUAUUGCCUUGGUGGGGAGCUUCCCGGAAACGAAAGUCUUCCGGUUCCGGGGGAAGUAUGGUUGCAAAGCUGAAACUUAAAGGAAUUGACGGAAGGGCACCACCAGGAGUGGAGCCUGCGGCUUAAUUUGACUCAACACGGGGAAACUCACCCGGCCCGGACACUGUGAGGAUUGACAGAUUGAUAGCUUUUUCAUGAUUCAGUGGAUGGUGGUGCAUGGCCGUUCUUAGUUCGUGGAGUGAUUUGUCUGGUUUAUUCCGAUAACGAGCGAGACUCUAACCUACUAAAUAGUUGGUACAUACUCUUAGUGUAUACAGCUUCUUAGAGGGAUUUGCGGCGUUCAGCCGAAAGAAAUUGAGCAAUAACAGGUCUGUGAUGCCCUUAGAUGUCCGGGGCUGCACGCGCGCUACACUGGCAAAAUCAACGUGCUUGUCCUACCCUGAAAGGGGCGGGUAAACCAUUGAAAAUUUGCCGUGAUUGGGAUCGGAAAUUGCAAUUAUUUUCCGUGAACGAGGAAUUCCAAGUAAGUGCGAGUCAUCAGCUCGCGUUGAUUACGUCCCUGCCCUUUGUACACACCGCCCGUCGCUGCCCGGGACUGAGCCAUUUCGAGAAAUUUGGGGACCGUUGAUUUAAUUUUUCUAAAUUACUUUGAUGGAAACCAAUUUAAUCGCAGUGGCUUGAACCGGGCAAAAGUCGUAACAAGGUAGCUGUAGGUGAACCUGCUGCUG